UUGGAGGGCAAGUCUGGUGCCAGCAGCCGCGGUAAUUCCAGCUCCAAUAGCGUAUACUAAAGUUGUUGCAGUUAAAAAGCUCGUAGUUGAAUUUCGGGGUUCUACCGUUGGUCGGGCUAUUGUCUGUACUGGCGUGUAGAAUUUCUACCUUCUGGGGAACUAUCAUGUUAUUAAUUUAGCGUGGUAGGAAACCAGGACCUUUACCUUGAAAAAAUUAGAGUGUUCAAAGCAGGCUUAUGUCUGAAUACAUUAGCAUGGAAUAAUAAAAUAGGACGGUGGUCCUGUUUUGUUGGUUUCUGAAUCACCGUAAUGAUUAAUAGGGAUAGUUGGGGGCAUUAGUAUUCAAUUGUCAGAGGUGAAAUUCUUGGAUUUAUUGAAGACUAACUACUGCGAAAGCAUUUGCCAAGGAUGUUUUCAUUAAUCAAGAACGAAAGUUAGGGGAUCGAAGACGAUCAGAUACCGUCGUAGUCUUAACCAUAAACUAUGCCGACUAGGGAUCGGACGAUGUUAACUUUUCUUGACUCGUUCGGCGCCUUACGGGAAA
RNAcentral lists this ribosomal RNA (544 nucleotides) under uncultured Glomeromycotina. Its description in RNAcentral is "SSU rRNA". It matches the Rfam family "Eukaryotic small subunit ribosomal RNA", at positions 548 to 1097 of the family's 1831-position model. Lineage: Eukaryota; Fungi; Glomeromycota. The record is from RNAcentral.